CGGUGUAAAGUGUUAAAUAUGCAGUGUUAUAGACAACAGUUCGUCAUUGGUAAAUUAAGAAGUAUUUUUGUGGUUUAUCACAUUAACACAGCGUAAGACGAGUCCCGCAAAGUGUAAAGUUAUUUUCAAACUAAUGUUACCGUUAGAGAGACGCUGAUCUCUAACCGUCCGUCACUGCCUACACAGAUCUGAAGCGAGGUAAAGCGAACACACAUUCACUGCAUUAAAACACUUUAACCUUUGUGUUCAGUGUUACUGAAUAUCUGUAGGUUUCAUCUAGAAUGUCCCAUCUGAUGCUGAUCAAGUUUACUAAAUCCGCCGAAUGUUUAACAAAGGGGCUGAAGAGCGUUUAUAAUGGUUGUUUAACCUUAGUUAACAUUUUACAGUUAUUUGCUCCUCACGUUGUCUUAUUUAAAAUUCAUACUGACAAAUUGCUGUCAUACUUUGAAAUCAAUGUUUUCAGUGCAAAGGCAGAGAGUGAAGGUGUGGUGGUAUUGGCAGCAGGAAGGCUGCAUAAUAUGGGUCUGAAAUGAAGUACCGGAACAUUAUCAGUCAUUCAAGCUAUGGUAUCCUGGCAGAUCUACUUCCUGAAAAGAAGACUCAGCAGAUCUUUUCAAGACACACUAGAUGGAGCGCGGAGAGACCGGACAGUUCCCACAGUGCCAGUUUUUCAGCACCCACACCCCAAACACAAAUUCAUAUAGAAGUUUUCAAUAAUAAAAUGUUCAUAUGAUAGUUUAUAUUUAGCUAUGAAGCAAUAGUUUAUUGUCAUAAAUAUUAAACUAAAUAUUAAAGUCCUUCUGUAGUGAAAAUCAAGUUUUUAUGCUGUUUUUUUGUCUUUGUGGCAUUAAAUAUUGCUACAUCACAAUCCAAUAACCAAUCACAUCUAAGAAUAAUUUCCUAUAGCAU
Molecule: long non-coding RNA, 909 nt
Organism: Carassius auratus (goldfish)
Lineage: Eukaryota; Metazoa; Chordata; Actinopteri; Cypriniformes; Cyprinidae
Exons: 3
Source: RefSeq, a predicted model, not a curated record